AUGCAUCCUUUUCUAUCUUCCUCUCUCUUUUGUUUCUCCUUUUUCUGUUUUAGAGUACACAAAGUUCCACGGGACAUGGAAGACAGACUGCUAAUGAAAAGGAAAGGCAGAAGCCUUGCUGGGAAGCAGCAGGAGGCUUGUGGGGUCUGGCUGGAUACUUCAGCACUCAAAAGACGCAAAUUACAGAGUUUCCUAGGUAAGCCAGUGUUAAAGGUCUUGAGCCAACCCUCUUCGUAUUCCACUCCUUCAAAAGUGUCUUUUCUACACACAAAACAAACCACCAUUUCCACCUUCUUCAGACCUCAACAAGCAGGGGACGGGAAAACAAGAAGCAAAAGUUUGCUUCCUGUAGCAACAAACAGUUCUUCCGACGUGAAAUCCCCUCAUUUGCCUACUGGGGGAGAAAACCCAUUGCCAGCAUCUGUGAUUCAUCCAGUAGUUAUGGAAAAGUGUGGCCAACAGCUUGUAAAGAAACCCCAACCCUACUUGCCUGGGAAUUGUCACCCUGUCCAAGCCCAGCUGUACAACAGCUGUAUCCUGCGUUCGACUAAAGACGACCACCCUGCUGGAGAGAAGGAAUAUCCUUUCUCCUUCGACCUAGACCAGCGUUGGGAAGAGAAAAGGGUUCUUGAUUAUGCGCCCGUUUUUGAGCCACCUUUGAGAGAGAGAAAUGGGGACUGGGAAAGAGAUCCCCCUCUUUCUCUUCUCAGAGAAAGUCCAAAGAGGAAGGUAGCUUCAAGCCAACGAACUAAGUUUCAGAGAAGAUACAGGGACCCAUCCUCUGACUCAGAAAAUAUAAAUCCUCAGCUGGAGAAAGGGAUGAACCAAGGGAAGCCCCGGGAAGGUCUCAGAGAAACCCCACCUAGGCUCCUUUUACAAGCCAGUGGUCACUUUUGCAGUUCUGAGAACAGCCAAGUUGAUGUGGCCAGCUCUUUGUUCACACAGGACUCGGAGGGCUACAAAGUCAUUUCGCACUGUUUACCUGACCGAGGUAAGCUGCGUUUGCAAAAUAAGCCUCUUUGGGGUAAAAACAGCUCAGUGGUGAGCCCGUCCCAUAAGGGCCACUCGGAGGCUUGUUAUUCUACGGCAGGAGGGCCCCGCGCUUCUCCAGGCACGACCCGGUCUGUUCUUGCAGACACGAGUGAGAAGUCAUGUUACGACUUGCUAUUCACAGAGGAUUCAGAAGGCAAUAAAGUCAUUAAACACUAG
RNAcentral lists this long non-coding RNA (1209 nucleotides) under Pogona vitticeps (central bearded dragon). RNAcentral's name for it is "lncRNA (ENSPVIG00000015679.1)". The record is from RNAcentral. Lineage: Eukaryota; Metazoa; Chordata; Lepidosauria; Squamata; Agamidae.